GACGGGGGAUGCAAGUGUUAUCCGGAAUCACUGGGCGUAAAGCGUCUGUAGGUGGUCCAAUAAGUCAACUGUUAAAUCUUGAAGCUCAACUUCAAAAUCGCAGUCGAAACUACUAGACUAGAGUAUAGUAGGGGUAAAGGGAAUUUCCUGUGGAGCGGUGAAAUGCGUAGAUAUUGGAAGGAACACCAAAGGCGAAGGCACUUUACUGGGCUAUUACUGACACUGAGAGACGAGAGCUAGGGGAGCAAAUGGG
Molecule: ribosomal RNA, 253 nt
Filed under: uncultured bacterium
Lineage: Bacteria
Description: partial 16S ribosomal RNA
Rfam family: Bacterial small subunit ribosomal RNA
Source: RNAcentral